UUACCUUGGCACAAUAACCCCUAUGAGGUAGGCAGGGCAACAAUUGUUAUCCUCAUUGUGUGAUGGGGGCCACUGAAACAGUGACAAGCCAGGGGAAAUGACACUACCUUGUAGUUGGAGGAGGUCAGACAGUCCUUUGCUUUAUUCUCAAACCCUAAACUCAUGGCUGGACAUUCCCGAAAUGCAUUCUUAAACCUCUGCUGCUGAGAAUAGCUGGACCUACCAUCUACUCCCUACCUUGUAUGCCAAACGAGUUCAAUUCAAGCCAGCAGAUGGAAUAUAGGCUCAGGUAGAGCCCAUCCUGUGUGUGAGGAGGCCUGAAACCACUGGCCUCACAGGGCUCUUAGGAGAAUACCGCUUGCAAACAUGCCCAGCAAAUAGAAGGCGUCUCCAGGGAUGCUGGCUGGCCUGCCAUGAUUUAAAGUGGAAGAAGCACCAUCAAUAUCUUCAAGCCUCGGAACCUUGUGGAGCAUCUCACGGGACCAAGAUUCCAAACGACGACCUUCAGGAAACACUGCUGCGGGGGAAAGUGUGUGGGUGUGGGCUCUGACAGUCCACGGUUCAAAGCCUGCUCCGUGACCUAGCUCCACGUGGGCUACUGAAGCAGCACUGGGUCAUGGGCUUGGUGGAGCCUUGACCGGAUUUCUCCUGUGGGAGACAGCAGCCGAUGCCCCUCACUUAGCACCCUUGUUGGCCCUGGCAUGACGGACAACAGAAAUGCCCAGGUGGACACAGAGGGUUGGACCAAGGCUCCAGGGGCCCAGUCAAGUCCUGGCCUGAGGAUCAGCAGAAGGAUGGCUGAUGUUGAGCCCACCACAUCAGGAGUCAGCCAGGUCGUGUUUCCAGAUGCUACAGAAGUGAGCAGUGGGACACAGCCCUUAUCCGCUCCAGGAGGGCCAGAGAAGGAGCCCGAACACAGAGACGCAUCCGAGGAGGGGCCUCCAGAGCUCAGGACUCAGGAGCAGAGGCCUCCAGCAAGACCAAGGAAGAAGCAGUCAUCUUGGGCGCCCCAGGAAGGGCCUGCGGAGCUGCAAGCAGGCCAGGAUCAGCCUGAGCCAGAGAGUGAGCUGGAGGUGCCGCCUGGCAGGGCUUCUCCGGUACCUGAAGGGCCGCAGCAGCCAGGCUCCCAGAAGGAGACUGAGGGCCAGCAGGGGAGGCAACAGAACCCAGAGACUGAGGAGGGUCAGCUCCCCGAGAGCUGCCAGGGCCCCAACUAUCAGCCCAGCUCAGAUCACCAGGCAGCAAAUGGGUUGGAUGUGGUGCAGCCGACAGAGCCUUGCUGCGUCUUGGACAGCUGUGGACAGCUGUGUCUUGAGCCGCUGGGAGACAGGCCCUCCAAGGAGGCCAGCAGCCCACACGUCGGGGCCCAGGCAGCUGUGCCAGAGCCUGGCCCAGGGGAACUUGGGGAAAGCUCCCAAGGAACAACACCGCCAAGGCCCACGGCAACUCCAGAGGAAAAGCCAGCCAGCCCCUCCCUGCCAACCACGCCAGGACAUGAAACACCCAAAGACGGGGGCGAGGCUGUGGAGACGCAGCCAGCACCGGGGCCUCUUCCUCCACCAGAGGUGAGGGAUGCUGGAGAAAGGAGGGAGCUGGACCGUGCACAGAAGCAGCCUCAGGAGCCCAUGGUGGCCACAGCGACGCAGAACCUCAGCAGCCUCCGGCAGGGCUUCAUGAAGUGCUUGCUGGAGGUGGAGGCGGCGGAGGCCACCCAUCGGAGGGCCUCGAAGGCCCGGACCUCACCAUCCCGCAAGUCCCCCAGGACCCUGACCCCCGGGCCCACCGCAGCCCCCGUCGGCAACUCAGCCCCGAGCCUCCCUCUGACCCUGCCUCAGACGCCCCCCUCGGCCCCUGCCACUGCCCCGCCGUGGGCUCGGACGCCAGCACCCGGGCCAGUCCCUGCCCCCGUGGGAGCCCCGGUCCCAGCCUCAGCGCCUGGCACGGUACUGUCCAUCCCUCUCCUGGACCUGCGCUGGAGAAGGACGGAACUCUUGUACCACAGCAGCGAGAGGAGCCUGGGCUACACCAAAGCACGGCAGGAGUCAGAAGAGCGCAGCCUGCUGAAGUUGUACCAGAGCUGGGAGGACAGGUGGGAGGACAGGUGCGAGGAGCACCUCACCCUGAGGCAAGAGGAAGCCUUCCGCAGUUACUUCGAGAUGUUCGAUGGCGCCGGCGAGGUGGACGCGCAGAGCCUGAAGAACAUCCUGCUCCUCGUGGGCUUCUCGCUGACUCCCGCGCAGGUGGAGGACGCCCUGAUGAGUGCUGAUGUCAAUGGAGAUGGUCGUGUGGACUUCAGAGACUUCUUGGCUGUGAUGACAGACACCAAGCGCUUCUUCUGCUCCAUGGAAUGCCCUGAUGGACAUGGCUCCCCCAAACCCCCACACUCUACUCUUCGAGAUCCUGUCCCUGCUGGUGGAGAUGCUGGCUUUACCGGAGGCAGCCUUAGAGGAAAUCACAAACUACUACCAGAAGAAGCUGAAGGAAGGCACCUAUAAGGCUCAUGAGAUGGAAUCAGCCAUAGGCCGGCUGCGGUCGAGGAAGAAGCUUUCCUGCAACCCCCAGCAGGCAGACAGCUUGGAAGUCAAAGAACGAAGGGUCCUCCGGAUCCUGAGCCGACUAAAGCAACAGAACUAUGCUGCCAACCUGCAGAGCCCCUAUACCCAGGUACCCUGCAUCCCACUCUGCCCAAGGAUGGACAAGAAGACAGCCCGACGGAAGCAGAGCAACCACUACUUGCUAGACCAGGGCGCCCCUACUGGCCUGGGCCCUGACAUCGGUAGCCUCUUAUUCCAGUCAGGAUCUCAAGGAAGCAGGGAACACAGUUCUGACAGCAGAAAGUGGCUCAGCUCUGUCCCGGCUCGAACUCACUGACCCUUUGGAGUCCUGACUCUAGGCAGCUGUUCAAGGCCUGCAGACAGACGGUCAUCAGGCAGGGGCUGUGGCUGGAGUUUGCUUUUGUGGCCUGGUAAGCCAAUAAACACCAAGAACUUCA
Molecule: non-coding RNA, 2992 nt
Organism: Microcebus murinus (gray mouse lemur)
Lineage: Eukaryota; Metazoa; Chordata; Mammalia; Primates; Cheirogaleidae
Source: RefSeq, a predicted model, not a curated record